CUUGCCUUGUAUUGCGCAGAGCCGCAAGGACGUGGAGGGGUCGCUGUUCGUCGUGAAGAGGAACACGCAGCCGAGGUUUCAGUUUAUCGUCAUGAACAGGCGGAACACGGAUAAUCUGGUGGAGGAUUUAUUAAGUGAUUUUGAAUACGAACUUCAACCUCCAUAUUUGUUGUACCGGAAUGCUGCACAAGAAGUAAAUGGUAUUUGGUUUUACAAUCAGCAGGACUGUGAUGCUGUAGCAAAUCUUUUUGGAAGGUAUGACUUUUCAUAUAUCAUAUGCUCAUGUUGGAAGCCUCCUUUUCAUGGCUCGGAUGUUUAUUGAAAACCAUUUGUGAGUGUUACUGGAUCAUACUAUUUUUUUGUAAAACUAGACUAAUCAUGUGCCAGUACCAUGACUAAGUUUCGAGAUCUUAUGUGUUUCAACUCUAGCCUAGCCCAACUUGUUUGGGACUUGUUGUUGUUGUUGUUGUUGUUGUUGACUAUCUGAUCUUGUCUACUUUAGAUUGGAUUCAGACCAGAAAUGCAUGCCCUAAAAGCUGCAACUAUCCAUGACGGACUCACGGCCUAACAAAUGGAAAUAAUGGUGUGGCUGGAUUGCAUGUUUGUAGAGACAAUAGGACUUUUGUGAUGCGAAAAUUUUGAAGUUUCUAAUGAAAACUGACGGACAAACUGUAGAAGUCAUUAUAUUUUACCUUUUUUUGUUUCUGCCGACAUAUACACAUAUUAGGGCAUCUCCAGUAGCUGCAAGAUGCUUGUUGGUAAAUUUGACAUGUAUGCAUCUUUGAUGACUUGUCAAGUAAUAAAUGAAGAGCGAGUGUGAGGUUGUAUGAAAAUGAUCCAACACCUUGUGCACAAGCUCCAAGGUAAAGAAAGAGAGCAAGCUUCCAUAUUCACUCACGUCCUAUUGUUCAACCAUUCAUACAACCACUGGAAUACUUGUAUGAUACAUUGUUGGUUGAUGACAUGGAUAUAUUUACCAGCAAACUAACCAACAAAUUGUUGGAGAUGCUCUUAGUGAUACAGUAACUGGUUCUGAUCUGAUCUUAUGGCAACAUGUAAACAUUAAACAGGUAGUACUGUGGCUUCCUCCUUUUUCUUAGGCAACCAGAAAUAGCUACACAGUUACUUAUGCCUCGGGAACAAACUUUUCUCGGUGGCAACCGCAGUUUUGCAUCCUAACGAGUGAAAAUUCCUUGACCAUGUUAACGGUUUGGAAAUUAAUAAAAUCUUGUGAAACUUUCUGCAUGUAAGGACUCUAGGAGCAUCAUGCUCUUAUAUUCAAUCGAAUGGGGCGUUACUAUCAUAUAAUUGGAAGUUUUCGAAAGGAUUAACAUGAUUACCUGCCCGGGUGUCAUUACCUUACCUCUGCACUGGACAAAAUAGAGGAGAAUCUUUUUCCUUUUUUAACAAUUCGUCCACUGUCUGCAAAUCAUGCUUCAUUAUUUCGCUUAGUUCAAAGCAUUAGCAUGUAUAACUAUUAGAUGUCUAACAUGGGUGUGAAUAAUUAGGAUUGAUUAAUCAUGAACCGAACUUUGUCUUGUUGAUGUCCAUGUAUCUUUAGGUUUUUUACUAGUAUUAUAUUUUGGCAUGUGGGUAAAAUUAUUAAAAUGAAAAUUUGUGAACAUGUUUCCUUGAGUUUUUUAAUUCCAUUUUCCUUGCAGGAUACUUAAUGCUUACGCCAGAGUACCUCCAAAAGCUAAAGUGCCCUCCACCAAAAGCGAGUUUGAGGAAUUGGAGGCUGUUCCUACGUCCGCUGCUAUAGAUGGCCCCCUUGAACCACCGCCAGCAUCCACUCUCAUUUCUGAUACUCCUGAUGAAUCACUUGCUAAUUACUUUGGUGGUGCUGCAAGCAUUGGGAGUGUAUCAAGUGGGUCAAUGGUUGGAAGAGCUCAUCCAUCCACUGAAACCACUGCGGCUUCCCACACGCCAUUGAUUAUGCCUUCUGCUGCCCAGUCGCACCAAAUACACCCUCCUUUUGGAGGUUCAUCAGCUCCACCACUGCCCCUCCAGGACACUAAUGCCCAUGCUAGCCAUUCAACAAAUCUUGUAACACCGGCAUUCUUUGCUCCUCCAUCAUCCUCUUCUGCAUCACUAGCUCCGCCGAUUUCAUCAAUGAUGCCGACAGCGCCACCUCUUCAUUCAACUUCAUCAUCUACUCAACAUCCUCAGUACGGGCAUGGCGCCCCUCUACUCCAACCUUUUCCACCACCUUCACCACCUCCAUCCUUCGCCCCUGCACACAACGACGGCUCUGUUAUUUCACGGGAUAAAGUUAAGGACGCCCUCCUGAGACUUGUUCAGAGUGACCAGUUCAUCGAUUUAAUUUACCGGGAGUUGCAGAAUGCACAUAUGUAGACUGCUUCCUAGGUGUCUUGUUGCUCGCUGCCGCGACAAGAGUGUUUCUGUUCUCUGUGAGUUUUGUACGCUGGUUCUGGAACUUCUGUAUAGCUUUGUAUUGAUGUGUUGAUGUAGAUUCUUUAUAGCUAUGGAUGGUAGUACUUAUGGUCUUCCUUGUUUACAAAUGACUAUGUCAAUGUCAUUACAUUUAUGUGUAAUUGGAAAAAAGGAGUUUGUAAGGAUGUUAUGAUAUCAUCAUUUUCGUGUGUUUUACUGAGCAAUCAUCUCGGUCAGCAUCAGGGUUUCUUGGAAUGCAAAUAUUAGUGUGAUUUACUGGACAGUUAUUAACUAUGCAUCAGAUUAUGAAGUAACUUUCUUUACCAAUUUAAGUUCUAUUGAAGCUUGGCAAAACCUUUGCUCCAGAGACCUUUUUAAGAGUUUCACCAACUAAGCUUCAAAAUUAGGAGUCCUACACUCCCAACUUUCAACGGUAUCUUCUCAAGUUCCCCUUUCUGAAAAUUAAUGCAAAGAAGAUAACUCUUGGCCCUGCGCUACAGUACAUUUACAUUGCGGCAGCGACCCUCUGUCCCUGUGUAACCUACUGGACGAACACGUAUUCACAUUCCUCGCACGUGUGAGCAAACCUUUACUACUAGUCGAUGCGCGCGUGCUCACCGGCACGUGAGCAUCACCAGGAACCCGACGAACGCCGCCGCUCCGACGCCGGAGCAGCAGAGGUCGACGAGCCCCUCCCGCCUCGCCUUCCACUCCUUCCGCGCGCUCUUCCCUUUCACCAACUCCCCGUACUGCCGCGCCGCCUGUGCCUCCGCCUCCGCGCCCCGGCCCUGCCUCGGGGCGGCCAUGGCCGCGGCGACCGCCGCCAGCCCGUCCCGCCCGCUGACGCCGCCGCCGUCACCGUCCUCCACGCACAGGCUGACCUCCCGGACGUGCCCAAACCGGUCGUCGCACGUGACGGCCGCGUCCAGGGCGACGCCGCCGAGCACCACGGUGAACCGCACCACGGUCUCUCCCGUGAGCCAGCUCCGGUCAACGGACACCGGCCGCCGGCUGGAGGCGUUGACCGCCCGGCCUGACGUCGGGUCGAGAAGCAGCCAGCUCAGCGUCAGCUCCGCCGGCGUGAUCGAGGACGCUGCCGAGAAGCCCUCCUGCAGGAGCGCGUCGACGCGGAACGGCGAGCCCAGGAACCACGCCGACGAGGCGUCCGUCUCCACCACGCGCGAUAUGAUGCAGACCCCCUUGUGGUGCAGGUCCACGGCGGAGACGAGCCGGCUGGGCAGGGCGGGCGCGACCGUGGCCGUGGCCGCCGCCGCCGCUGUCGCUGGGAACGGGAACGCGUCGGCGAAGAGCGCCCGGUGGAAGCCGUCACCGGUGCCGCGGCAGCAAGAAUUGUCGAGGAGGCCGGCGACCGACGGCCACAAGGCGAGGCAGAGUCCGCGCCAUGUGUCGGGGUCGGUGGCGAGGUCGUGGAAGCUGGAGCUCGCGCAGCCGAGCGCCGCCAGCGACGCGCCGUCGAGCCGGCGGAGCACGAGGGACAGCACGUCCGUGGGGAGGUCCUCGAUGACCGUCUCUGCCGCGCCGCCGCACGCCGGAGAAUCGUAGUUCAUCAUGCUCUCCUCAGUUUGACUACUCGCCGCCAUGGUGGACACACACGAAGCUCGCACCGGUGCAAUUCCUUUCGUCCUGUGCGACCUGUGAAUUGGUUAUGCACCUGUGAAUUGAGUAUGUUUAUAACUUUGUGUGUGUAGAGUAUAUAUAUACUCCUACUUAUAUAGUGAGUAAGGUGAGUGAUCACGGUCUGAAAGCGAGAGGUUCCUUUUGUACAACUGAUCAACUCUGAACUUGCUUGCGUUGCCCAGAAGCAAAGGCCAG
RNAcentral lists this ribosomal RNA (4227 nucleotides) under Triticum aestivum (bread wheat). RNAcentral's name for it is "partial small subunit ribosomal RNA". The record is from RNAcentral. Lineage: Eukaryota; Viridiplantae; Streptophyta; Magnoliopsida; Poales; Poaceae.